CCUACGGGUGGCAGCAGUAGGGAAUAUUGCACAAUGGGCGAAAGCCUGAUGCAGCAACGCCGCGUGCGCGAAGAAGGUCUUCGGAUCGUAAAGCGCUUUUCUGCGAGAUGAGAAAGGACAGUAUCGUAGGAAUAAGUCUCGGCUAACUACGUGCCAGCAGCCGCGGUAACACGUAGGAGGCAAGCGUUAUCCGGAUUCACUGGGCGUAAAGCGCGUGCAGGCGGUUUGGUAAGUUGGGCGUGAAAGCUCCCGGCUCAACUGGGAGAGGUCGUCCAAUACUACCAGGCUAGAGUGCGGUAGAGGAAAAUGGAAUUCCCGGUGUAGUGGUAAAAUGCGUAGAUAUCGGGAGGAACACCAGUGGCGAAAGCGAUUUUCUGGACCGUUACUGACGCUCAGACGCGAAAGCUAGGGUAGCAAACGGGAUUAGAUACCCCGGUAGU
RNAcentral lists this ribosomal RNA (440 nucleotides) under uncultured Anaerolineae bacterium. RNAcentral describes it as "partial 16S ribosomal RNA". It matches the Rfam family "Bacterial small subunit ribosomal RNA", at positions 338 to 794 of the family's 1533-position model. Lineage: Bacteria; Bacillati; Chloroflexota; Anaerolineae. The record is from RNAcentral.